GAGAGGGUGAUCGGCCACACUGGGACUGAGACACGGCCCAGACUCCUACGGGAGGCAGCAGUAGGGAAUCUUCGGCAAUGGGGGCAACCCUGACCGAGCAACGCCGCGUGAGUGAAGAAGGUUUUCGGAUCGUAAAGCUCUGUUGUAAGUCAAGAACGAGUGUGAGAGUGGAAAGUUCACACUGUGACGGUAGCUUACCAGAAAGGGACGGCUAACUACGUGCCAGCAGCCGCGGUAAUACGUAGGUCCCGAGCGUUGUCCGGAUUUAUUGGGCGUAAAGCGAGCGCAGGCGGUUUGAUAAGUCUGAAGUUAAAGGCUGUGGCUCAGUCCCAGUGUGGCCGAUCACCCUCUC
RNAcentral lists this ribosomal RNA (352 nucleotides) under uncultured bacterium. RNAcentral describes it as "bacterial SSU rRNA". It matches the Rfam family "Bacterial small subunit ribosomal RNA", at positions 294 to 637 of the family's 1533-position model. The record is from RNAcentral.